This 23-nucleotide non-coding RNA is filed under the name Arabidopsis thaliana (thale cress). The record is from RNAcentral. Lineage: Eukaryota; Viridiplantae; Streptophyta; Magnoliopsida; Brassicales; Brassicaceae.
UUAGAAGUGCCUUGUGUUUUGAA